RNAcentral lists this unclassified non-coding RNA (240 nucleotides) under soil metagenome. Its description in RNAcentral is "partial contains 5.8S ribosomal RNA, internal transcribed spacer 2, and large subunit ribosomal RNA". The record is from RNAcentral.
AACCAUUCUCACCUGCGGCUAGACCUGCGGAAGGAUCAUUACCGAGUUAGGGUAGUCGCACUGCCCGACCUCCCAACCCUGUGUCUACCAUACCUUGUCGUUGCUUCGGCGGACCGGUUGACCAACUGGUCAUGACCGCCGGGGGCUGGCUCUGUCCCCCCUGGAGAGCGUCCGCCGAUGGCCCAACCACAAAACUCUUGUACCGAAACGUGUCGUCUGAAUUAUGUUUGAGAAAUCAAA